AACGAACGCUGGCGGCAGGCCUAACACAUGCAAGUCGAACGAACCGUUUACGGUGAGUGGCGCACGGGUGAGUAACACGUGGGAAUAUACAUUUCGGUAAGGAAUAACGUAGAGAAAUUUACGCUAAUACCUUAUAAUGACUACGGUCCAAAGAUUUAUCGCCGUAGGAUUAGCCCGCGUUAGAUUAGGUAGUUGGUAGGGUAAUGGCCUACCAAGCCUACGAUCUAUAGCUGGUCUUAGAGGAUGAUCAGCCACACUGGAACUGAGACACGGUCCAGACUCCUACGGGAGGCAGCAGUGAGGAAUAUUGCGCAAUGGGGGAGACCCUGACGCAGCCAUGCCGCGUGAGUGACGAAGGCCUUAGGGUUGUAAAGCUCUUUCAGAUGUAAAGAUAAUGACGGUAACAUCAGAAGAAGCUCCGGCUAAAUUCGUGCCAGCCGCCGCCGUAA
Molecule: ribosomal RNA, 449 nt
Filed under: uncultured bacterium
Lineage: Bacteria
Description: partial 16S ribosomal RNA
Rfam family: Bacterial small subunit ribosomal RNA
Source: RNAcentral